RNAcentral lists this non-coding RNA (499 nucleotides) under Papio anubis (olive baboon). Its description in RNAcentral is "Eukaryotic large subunit ribosomal RNA". It matches the Rfam family "Eukaryotic large subunit ribosomal RNA", at positions 3006 to 3399 of the family's 3401-position model. The record is from Rfam by way of RNAcentral. Lineage: Eukaryota; Metazoa; Chordata; Mammalia; Primates; Cercopithecidae.
UGUUGUUGCCAAGGUAAUCCUGCUGGGUAUGAACCCGCAGGUUCAGACAUUUGGUGUAUGUGCUUGGCUCAGGAGCCAAUGGGGCGAACCUACCAUCUGUGGGAUUUUGACUGAAUGCCUCUAAGUCAGAAUCCCGCCCAGGCGGAACCAUAGGGCAGCGCUGCGGGGCCUCGGUUGGCCUCAGAGCCUCUGUUGGCCUCGGAUAGCCGGUCUCUCAAUGGCCUGGGAUAGCCGGUCUCCCGCCCUCCCGGCCGGCGGGCAGUUCAGCCCCGCAAGCGCACAGGGACCCGCACAGGUUUCCCAGGAGAGUCCCUCCUCCUGGGAAACCGGGUGCAGCAGGAAAGGCAGCAGCCCCCUCGCCCGUCACGCAACGCACAUUCGUGGGGAACCUGACAUUAAACCAUUCGUAGAUGACCUGCUUCUGGAUCGGGAUUUCGUACUGAGCAGAGCAGCUCCCUCGCUGUGAUCUACUGAAAGUCAGCCCUCCACACAAGGGUUU